RNAcentral lists this long non-coding RNA (19750 nucleotides) under Hordeum vulgare. RNAcentral describes it as "long non-coding RNA (HVUL_LNC004366)". The record is from RNAcentral. Lineage: Eukaryota; Viridiplantae; Streptophyta; Magnoliopsida; Poales; Poaceae.
AGGCCGACCCUAUCCAUUCCCAGCGCCAGUUCCCCCCCUCCUCUCGGAUCUCUCCUCCCUCCUUCUACAGCCAUUGGAGCCCGAGCAGAGCUCGAGCUCGCCGUCGUUCUAGCCUCCCCUCCUUCCUUCUGAGCCGCGCAUUAGCUCCGUCACAACUCCCUGAAGCUCCCUAGCCACGAGCCCGACGCCCAGAUGCAGUGAAACGACGAGAAGCAGUCGUCUUCUUCCUCGGGUCACCGAAGAUCGUCGCCGGCGUUCUUCCUCUCCAGGCCGUCCCCGAGCAAACUAGCGCCACCACUGCACUCCUCGUGAGCUUGCGCGUCUUUCCCCUAAGAUCUCCCCGUCGAUCCCCUCCUCUAGGCCUAGUUCCACCGGAGCCCGACAAGAUCCGCCGCUGCAGCUCGUCGCCGGUAACCCUCCGGUGAUCAGCUCGUCCUUCUGAGGGCACCAGCAGCUUCAGGAUGUCGCGUAGAUGCCGUAGGAGCUAAGUCCCGUGCGCAACUCCCUCUGUAUCGAUGACCUCGAUGACGACCGAACCUUGACCGCCGCCAAGCUCGUCGCCGGCAUCAUCUCCGACCAGAUCAGCCCCUGCUAAGUGCAGAAAUGCAACCGCGGGAGAAGUGUCGUUCUUCUGGUGCUCUCCGCGCAGCGUUUGGCCCUCUGUGCGCCGUUUCCGAUGCCCCCCGACGUUCUGGUGCUCGCCGGAGGCUCCCAGCCGGCUAGGACGACCUCGCCACCGGUGGAUCUCAGCUGGCCUGAGCCACUGACGGGUGGGGCCAACCUCUCGAUAGUUUAGAGAUAAUAAAUAUAAAUCAGAUAAAUUAAUAAGACACUGACAUGUGGGUCCAGUGAGUUUAAUUAACUAAAUAAGAUUAAUCCUAAUCUAAAAUUGACCAGAGACACUGACCAGUGGGUCCCACUGGUCAGGUUUGACUUUCAACGGCCAGAUAGACCUGCUGAUGUCAUGCUGAUGCAGUAAAAGUAUUUUCCAGUUUAGAAAUAAUUCCAGAAAUGUUUAAAACUUCAAAAAUUCAUAGAAAUUAAUCUGUAACUCCAAUGAAAAUAAUUUAUAUAUGAAAAAGUAUCAGAAAAAUUCAAGGAAUCUGAAUAUGUUAUUCAUGUUUGAAAAAGUUACAGAACCCAAACAUAUAGAUUAAUGAAUAAGUCAAUUCUUAUAAAUACCUUAUAAAUGGAAUAUAGAAAAUAUUUGAAUUUCACUAUGAUUGACAUGAUCAAACACUGUUCUAAAUCCAAACCAGCAACUUAACAUGUCAUCCCAUGCAUGUUAACAUCAAGUUGAUCUGAGCAUCAGGUCGAAUCAAUUAAAACGGUAUCCGAGAAUACCUCGUUUGAAGUGAUAUUUGAAUAUGAUUCAAAUCAACUUCAAACCUAAAAUAUGCUAACUAUAUUAGUUUGUCACCUUCCAUUCUCAUGCCAUGCUCAUGCAUCAUCUUGUUUGCAUAUGAUUGUUAUUGAUUGUUGUCAUUCAUUUCGGUAGGCUCCGCUCCCCCGGAUUCCACCGAAUAUCCGUCUGACGGGUAUUGUCCCUCCUCUGAGCAACAAGGCAAGCAACCAUUUUGAUCAUCCCGAUAAAUCCCAUGUUCUUGCUCCUGCACUUACUUAUUGCAUUAGGAUCAAAUGCUUCAACUGCUUUUGCCACGUUAGUUGAACCCACUUCCUUUGCAUGACCUAUCCUUGUCACAGUAAAUAGUAGAACCUUGCAACCUAGCAUACCUGGUAGUUGCUUGAGCCAUGAUGUGCCUUAUCCUGCUAUGCAUGCUAUGCUUAGAGUUGUGUAUGGUCUGUCAUCUGGGAGAUGAACAGAAUUGUGAGAAUGUGUUCGGUAAGCAAAGGUUGUGUGUUGAACCUGAUUUGGUAAAGGUACCGGUGAAAGGCUGUGUAGGAGUACAUGGUGGGUUGUUUCAUUGGAACCGUCCUUAGGAACUGAGUUCCGUGUAUGUAAUCCAAGACUAGAUACUACCACACGUUGGGAUACUUAAUUGACCCUCUCGACUUAUUAAUCGCUUAGUACUCGGUCCAGGAGUUGCAAGUAGUUUCUGGUGUUUAUAGUCAUGCUGGAGGCCGUGCAUGGUGCUGACCUGAGAGGUGGGCCGUGAUGCGGUAGUCAGUGGCACGGUGUACCAAGUGGCACCCGGAUGGUGGGCUUGGGAACCCUGCGCACAUCGUUUGAGGCCGUGACGGAAACCCCGGCCGGACUUUCGUACGGGUUACUCUCAGAUAGGCGAUAAACCUGGAUUACGUACUAGUGUGGUUAACGGUCGUGGCCGACUCCCUCGCUAGGCUUCCGCUUGAAGGUUGCCGAGGUGCAUGACGUGCACAUGGCGAUAAGUGGCGAGAGCGUGUGUGACGAAGUACACCCCUGCAGGGUUAUGAUCUAUUCGAAUAGCCGCGUCCNGUGAUGCGGUAGUCAGUGGCACGGUGUACCAAGUGGCACCCGGAUGGUGGGCUUGGGAACCCUGCGCACAUCGUUUGAGGCCGUGUCGGAAACCCCGGCCGGACUUGCGUACGGGUUACUCUCAGAUAGGCGAUAAACCUGGAUUAGGUACUAGUGUGGUUAACUGUCGUGGCCGACUCCCUCGCUAGGCUUCCGCUUGAAGGUUGCCGAGGUGCAUGACGUGCACAUGGGGAUAAGUGGCGAGAGCGUGUGUGACGAAGUACACCCCUGCAGGGUUAUGAUCUAUUCGAAUAGCCGCGUCCGCGGAUAUGGACUACUUGGAGACAUAUGUUGUCCAUAGAUAACUUAAAUGGCUACUCAUAAAUUGUCAAGAUAAGCGUGAGUGUCGUGGACGGCAUUUCUGUAUGGAGACGGAAUGAUUCCACGAUGGUGUAUUGUUGUGGUGUUAGUGGACUCGUGUGCGAGAAAUCAAGUUGUCAAAAUUAUUUAAAAAUGCAAGUUGUCUAGCCACGAGUCAAAUGGUGGCUUUCCGCAUGAAACCCCACAAUACCUUAUUUAUACCUUGCAUGAGUAGAUAGUUAUCCUAAAGUCUUGCUGAGUACCUUCGUACUCAUGUUUGCUUAAUAAUUGUUGCAGAGGUUGCUAAUGACCCUAAUGGAGGGUUCUUCGUAGACAUCGACGACGACGAGUAGCUGGUGUCCCAGCUACGAUCUGGCCCUACGUUGGAUAUGUAGUAUAGUCAGGCCAUGUGCUUUCUAGUUGCACCUGUCUGUACUGAGACAGUUUUAAACUCUUCCGCUAGCUUGUAACUGAAUGACUGCUAUUAUGGGUCGUGAGACCCUUAAUGUGUAAUAUUAUGUGUGCGGAUCUUCCGAGCCUCUUAAAUAAAGCUUGUAUGUUUUUGGUUAUGUUGUGAUGCCAUCGAUGUACCUAUACAUAUCGGUAUGUCAUGCGUACGUGUGUCGUACUUGAUAUGUAUGGCGUUCGAUUACCUAGUCGUGAACUUUAGUAGCACUCCUUACAAGGAAAUGCCCCUUUGUGAUCCAACGAGCCUUGGUAGUUCGCUACUGCUCCGGACACAUUGGUUGACCGGCAUGUGUCCUUCUUAGCUGCUUUGUCUGUCCCCUUUGGGGAAAUGUCACGCGAUGUAAUGGAGUCCUUGUAGCUUGCUACGACUCGUCUACACUCGCUGGUGACCGACACCUGCUUUGUUGGGUCAUGUAUGCCUGUCCUUGUGCGGUACUGCCACUUUGGUUUGUGACUAGACUUGUCGAUCCGGGUUCUUUGACAUUGGAAUGCUAGCGACACUAUUGCAUACGUGAGUCAAAAGACACAAACGGUCCCGGCUAAGGUAAGGCUGCAGCCGUGGAGUUAACCGUGCAUGAGACUGCAAUGAGAUGCGAUGUGUUACAGGCUGGAUUCCUAUGACUUAGGAUCGGGGUCCCGACAAAUGGUUUCACCGUAGUCGAUACCCUCGACUUGGGAGUAGCCUUGAGCCACCAAUCUUGCCUUGUUUCGAACCACAAUCCCAUUGGCAUCUUGCUUGUUUUUUAAUAUCCAUUUGGUCCCGAUGACAUUAUGUUCCUCCUUUGGUCUUGGCACUAAUUUCCACACUUGAUUACGCUCAAAGUUGUUGAGUUCUUCAUGCAUGGCCAUAAGCCAAUCCUCAUCAUCGAGCGCUUCUUGUACCUGUUGAGGUUCACAAUACGAAACAAACGCGUGAUGCUCAAAAUAAUUCCAAAUUUGUUGACGAGUGGAUACUCCCCUUUUCAAACUACCAAGCACAUUCUUCAUAAGAUGUGACUUGACUCUCAGCUUGUUUGCAAUCUUGGCUGCGUGACGCUCCAAGAGUUCUCCAUUUGAUAACUAGGGAGCAUCGACUUGAUUACUUUGCUUGGCCUUGCGUUUUGAUCCUCCCUUGGCACCAGUAGCCAUCUUAGGUGCUGUAGAAGGAAAUUGAGAGACAGCAUCCUGAUCAACUUGAUUUUUGACUUGAGCAGGCUCACUGGUUUGUCCUUGAUCUUGUGGUUGCUCUUGAUCUUGAUCUUGUGCCUCUAUUUGGUCUGGAUCUUGUAGUUGCACUUGAUCUUGAUCUUGAGCAGAUUCGGAACCUUGUGUAAGCACUUGGACAUCAUGGGGCACAUCACCAUCUUUGAGCAAUUGAUCUUGUCCUUGAACUUGUUCAACUGGUUGAGGGUUUUCUCUUUGUUCAUCGGAAGCCUGUGGGGCUUGUGAGGAUGAUUGCUCCACUUGAGUAGAGCAUUGUCCUUCUCCUUCGGCCACAAGGGGUUCCUCAAUGGGGAGUAUUUGACCAAUCCCCAUUCUUCUUAUUGCUUGGGAAGGAAUUUCAUCACCUACAUCACAGAGACCACUUUGCUCCACUUGGGAGCCAUUAUUUUCAUCAAACUCCACGUUACAUGUUUCCUUAAUGAGCCCGGUGGACUUGUUGAGGACACGGUAAGCAUGAGAGUUUGUAGCAUAACCAACAAAGAUGCCCUCUUGAGCUCUAGAAUCAAAUUUAGCUAAACGUGCACCUUUCUUGAGAAUGAAACACUUACACCCGAAUACCCGGAAGUACUUGAGAUUGGGUUUGUUUCCGGUGAGAAUCUCAUAUGGGGUCUUGUUCAAGCCUUUGCGGAUAUAGAGCCGAUUGGAUGCAUGACAUGUUGUGUUGAUGGCUUUAGCCCAAAAGUUAUACGGAGAUUUGAAUUCCGCCAUCAUUGUUCUUGCCGCGUCCAUCAACGUCCGGUUCUUCCUUUCCGCCACACCAUUUUGUUGAGGGGUGUAUGGUGCUGAAAAUUGAUGUUUGAUUCCCUCAUCACCUAGAAACUCAUCCAAGGUGUAGUUCUUGAACUCGGUGCCGUUGUCACUUCUAAUCAUCAAAAUCUUUGCUUCAUGUUGACAUUGAGCUUCAUUAGCAAAGUUGAUGACAGUUUGUUGAGUCUCACUCUUCUUCUUGAAGAAAUAUACCCAGGUGUAUCUUCAGUAGUCAUCAACAAUCACCAAGCAGUACUUUCUGCCCCCAAGACUAUCAAAUGAUGGAGGACCGAAGAGAUCCAUAUGAAGGAGCUCCAACGACCUCUUAGUGUAAAUGAGUGUCGUUGGACGAUGAGAAGUUUCAUGAAUCUUCCCUUCAAUGCAGGCACUGCAAGCACGAUCUCUGGCAAAACUCACAUUUUUUAGUCCAUGAACAUGGUCCCCUUUGAGAAGACUUUGCAAAGAUCUCAUAUUGACAUGAGCUAGUCGGUGAUGCCAAAGCCAGCCCACAUCAACUUUAGCCAUUAGACAAGUCGCGGUCUUAGUGGGUCGCUUUGAAAAGUUCACCACAUAGAGACCAUUUUUGACAUAUCCAACAUAUGCUACUUUAAGAGUCUUGCUCCACAAAAGGACCACGGUAUCAAGAUUAAAGAAUGUGGAAAAGCCCAUAAUUGCAAGUUGACGAACCGAAAGUAAAUUGUAAGCAAGGGACUCAACAAGCAUGACCUUCUCAAUAGAUAACUCUUGAGAGAUGACCACCUUACCAAACCCCAAUACCUUUGACGAUGAUGCAUCGGCGAAUUGGACAUGGGUGGGCAUAGAUGGGGAAGUGAAAGUGCAUUAUAUCGACUAGAGGGGGGUGAAUAGGAUAUUUUUAGAAUUUCAUCACUGAGGAAAUUCCUUUUGAAGAAAUUCCUCACUGAUGACUAACUUACAGCAGAAGCAGUUAAGGAUCAGUCGUGCAAUCGUUCACAACAGCAGUAUUAUAGAGUGAAGAUUAUGAAAACAGAUCGCACAGUAAGCAGGCACGCAGAAUACAGAUGAUGAUUAACUCAAGUGAAGAAUUUGGGGUUGAGGAAAUUCAGAGAAAGUCUUCAGCAAAUUCUUCAAACAGUCACAGUGAAUGUCAUCAACACAUAAUACAGAGAAUGUAAAGAGUUGAGAAAUUAGAACCCGAUUCUUGAUGAAGACUGUUGUUGAUGACCCAGUUUCAACUGAUGUGACAGUUGUACAUCUGGUUUGGAGCGGCUUGGUAUUGAAACCAAAGGACACCCAGUCCCGGGACACAUAGUCCCUACCGUAUUAUCCUUGAGCUAAGGACACACAGUCCUCGCCCAACACUCGUGGUAAGUCUUCAGGGCAGACUUCCAAACCCUCACAAACUCGGUCACCCGGCGAUCCACAAUUAACUACUGGAUUGCUCUAGAUCAUGACGCCUAACCGUCUGGAGGAUGCAGAGUCCUCAAAGGUAAAAGGCUUCAGUCCCACACAAGAACAACUUCUUCAGUGAUGCUCAAUCACUAGGUUUGGUUUGUGGUUUCGGUGGGUGGUGUAUUUCCUCACAGAUGAUUUACUCUCAAAGGCUCUGAGGAAUUUGGGUUGCUCUUAUGACAAGUGUCAUUUUAUAACGGAGCAGCCAACCAGCUAGUGGUUGUGGGGGCGGCUAUUUAUAGCCUGGGAGCAUCCCGACAUGAUUUGACAUUAAUGCCCUUAAAUAAUAUGACCGUUGGAGUGGAUAAGACCAGUGACUUGGCGUGGCUUAUCGAAACGGUCGGGACCCUCAACUGUGAGAGUCCUCAUGUCACUCAUAUUCCUCACUUGAGGCUUUUGGUAGGAUUUGUCUUGGGUUGAGCAUCAUGAGGAAAUUUGUUCCAUAGUGUUACUUUGACCCCCUUUAACAGUACGGUGUUCCUAUUCAUCAAAUGCGAAGAAAGUAAAACAGAAAACGUAAAUCUUCACGCUUCAAUUUCUUCAAAAUGAUUUUCUUCAGGAACCACCGAUCUUCUCAAUAUCAAUAUCUUCAUGAGGAAUAUCAAUUUCAUCGCAGAUUCCUCGUGAUUCAUUUCUUCAGCUUCAGACCAAUUUCUUCAACUGAAGAUAUACAUUUUUAGGGGUCGAGAUUCUUCAAAUAUCUCAAACUCCUCACUGACUUAUAGAUCCUGUGUACACUUAUAAACACAUUAGAUACUUAACCUAUAAGUCUUCAAACCACCAAAAUCACUAAGGGGCACUAGAUGCACUUACAAUCUCCCCCUUUUGGGUGGUUGAUGACAAUUAGGUUAAGUCUUCAACAGGGAAUAAAAAUGUGAAGUGUACAUACUCAAUUGAGGAAUUUGAAGACAAGAUUCACAGAGACUCCCCCUGAAGAUGUGCAUACCUUGAGGAUUUUGCUUAUAUAGCAUAUGCACAUUGAUGAUUUAUAUCAUGGAGAUCUCCCCCUGAAUCUUGUAAAUCAUGCAUACAUAUAACAUAUCAUAUGAAGAAAAUGAAGAUGCAUGAUGGCAAAUGGUAUCUGACGAAUUUCAGCAUGCGUGCAUUAAAACUUGAGGAAUAAGCAUGCGAAGAAAAACGUUCAAAAAGGCGUCAGAGUACCAUCGGGCUUAAGUUACAACUCAUUACAUAAAAACUUCAGAAGAGCCAAGAGUUUGUAACUUAAAUAUAGUUCAUAAGCCCCAAAAAUAAAUCCCGUUUGAAGACUAACUCUCAAGUUUGUCCCCCUUUGUCAUCAAGUGACAAAAAGGGACAAACUGAGGACUAACGCCCGUGAAGUCUUCAUUUCUUGGCGGUGGAUGAAGAUCCUUGGCGCUUCUUGGGUGUAGUCUUCUUCCUUGGGCCUGUUGCGGUGUCGAGCUAUUCCUCAUCAGAUUCGGCGGUGCGGAAAGACGAGAAGGAACUAUCUUCAAGAUCUGGCACUGGAAUGGGCCUGAACUUCUUCUUGGGAGGCCACGACCAGUCAAAGUCCUGCUCAAAGUUCAAUUCUUCAAGCUCAGUCUGGGUCUUCAGAUGUGCAAGGGUAGCCCAGGUGCGAUCAAAAACCUCAUGCAGAUAGUGAUGAUUAAGUUUCACAGAGUUCUGUGUCUCAGUGAGGGUUUUCACAAUGGCACCAAACUGGCGUUUGACCCAUUUGUGGUUGUGAUCCACCUUCUGAUGAAGACUGAGGAGAAGCUCUCUGGUGUUUAGCACGCGAGGAGGAACAGGGCUUGGUGGACGAGUCUCAGUAUCGUCCCAUGAGGAAUAUGCAUCUGGCUCUUUAAAUUGACCAUCAAGAGGCCUGCUGCCUUCAUCAAUCACAGACUUUCCUUUUCCCUCAAUGGGCUCGAAAGUCUUCUUGUUGACCCGGAUAGGAGGCAUCUAACCAACAUGAUUCUGGAAAUCUGCGUGGAAGUUGAUGCCUGUCCUUGUCCUGAGGAAUCUCAUGAUCCAUGGUGCAUAAAUUUUGUGAUCAUAUGGGCACAUUGCAUUGUCAUCCAAAGUCCUCAAGAAGAAAUCAUGGAUAUUCAUCGGGAUGCCGUGAAUGAUGUUGAAGAGGAUAUUCUUCAUGAGGCCGACGACAUCUUCUUCAUCGUCAUGGCCUUUGAUGGGCGCGAGCACACUGCAGAGAAUGCGGUAGACAGACCGGGUUGUGUACUUGAGCUCAUGGGCGAGGAAUGUGGUUCUUGAGGGCUUUCCUGCAGCCAAAGGCUUCAUGAGGACUUCCAUCAUUCCAUUUGGUAGCUCACGCUCACCAUAAAGCUUCACUGCCCCUUCUGAAGGAAUUGGUACGGGCAGUUCUCUGAGGAGUUCAGACGCUGGAGCCUUGUAGUGAGUGUUUUGGGUCAUCCAGUCGAACACCCAAGUGUUGAUGUCAUCAGCAUUGCCCGAGAUGUGCAGAGUUGCAUAGAAUUGAAGAAUGAGCUCACUAUUCCAAUCUGAUAUGUCGGAGCACAUAGGGAGCAAACCUGCAUCAUGAAGUACGCUGAGGACUGGUUCCAUGCACGGAAUUUCUUCAAGUUCAUCAUGAGGAAUGUGCCUGUGCUGGAAUAUCUUGUUGCGUCCACAGAGCACAGAAGCAUAGUAGUUCAUCUGAGUCCUUGUCCAAAACUUCAGAUGCCUCAUUUGAGGCUUGUCAUAAGGAUUCUCUCCGAUGAAUUACAUGUGUUCCUCAAAGAAAUUUUCUUUCUGAAACUUGGGCCGCUUCGAGAAUGGCUGGCGCUGAACUGGCUGGAUAGUGUGCUGAGGAAUGGGUGGGGAAACAACCAUGGCAGUUUCUGGGUUGAGCACAAUGAAUUCAUUGUCAGGGGCGGGAACAUUUUCUUCAGUAGUGUCCUCAGGUUGAGGAAUUUCAUCAGCUGGUAUUUCUUUCUCUGGUUGAGCUUCAGGCUGAGGAAUUUCUUCUUCCUCCUCAGCUUGAGGAGUUUGGUCAGCCUGUUCAGUGGGAGGAGCCUGCUCAGACUGGACAUAUUCUUCAGCUUGUUUUUCAUCAGCUGACUUUGUGGCAGAAGCAGAUUCAUCAGCUGCUGCAGCUGAAGCUUGAGUAGUCUCUUUCUGAGGAAUAUGAGGUUGAGGACUAUCAUCAAUCUGUAUUUCCUCAUCAGUAUGCUCCUCAGAGGCAGCAUCCUUCAUUUCCUCAUCUGCCCUUGUAGUUUGGUCACCAAUGACGACCAUUUCAUAUGAAGGUGCAACAUUUAGAGGCACCGGGUCCAGAGGGGCAGAUUCUUCAGUUUCCUUGAGGCGUUUUGCCUCGAUCUUUUCUUAUGCUGAGGAAGCUUUUCUUUUCUUUGCUUCCUUCUCAGCAGCUCUUGUCUUUUUCGCGUCUGAUGCAGACGGGAUUAACUUCUUCACCUUUGAAGCUUUUGGUGAAGGUGUUUUCUCGACAGAUUCUUCAGCUGGCAGUGAGGAACCAGCUGGAACAGAGUCAUCAGCCUGCUUUGGUGAAGCAGCUGGAUCAGUAGCAGUUGCAUCAGGGAUUGCAGUUUCAUCAGUGGUGGUCUUGGUGAUGAUUUCUUCAAUGGCCGGCUCAUCAGCUCGGCGCUCUUGGUGUUGUUCCUCACUUGGAGGAAUUUCCUCCUCAUCAGGAGAUGCAUCUUCUGGCUGUUCAACCAGGGGCUGAGGAGUUGGUGCUGGUUGUGGGUGUUGCUUGUUGUAGUCAUCAACAGCACUAGUGGCUAGCUUGAUGAAAUUGCGUUUGAUGCUUGUGCGGUCUGACAAUUUCUCACACUUGUCAGUCAAGACUUGCAGCUCUGCCUGGGUUGACACCAAUGCUUCAGGCGUCAGCUUGAGGACAUUUUGCCUGAGGAAUUUCUCCUUUCUGGCCUUUGCAAUAUUUGCCUGCUUGGCCUUCUGUUCCUUCCACUUGGCUUCGUUUAUGAAGGUAGCCACCAUGUGGCUGACGCGAGGAGGAAGUUUCAAAUCAUCAAUGGGUGUGUUUGGGUCUUCAUACCACACAUUGAUGAAGUCGAGGAGGACCUUGGGGUCCAUGGCCAGAGGAAUAGCACUGCCUGAUGCUUGUGCUACCCGUUCUUGCUUGUUUCUGAUGAUGGCUUGCAAAGUUUCAUCAUCAUACUCAUCACUUCCCUCUGAUGCAGACGGGACUGCGAUGAUUUUGCUGGGGCUGGGCAGAGGUGCAGGUUGAGUAGUUGUCAAAGUCUUCAUAAGGGGAGUUGAAGACUUUGUCUCCGAGCUAGUUGCAGCUGGGAGUGAGGAGCUGGAGCUGGCAGUCGUAGUCUUCACGACUUUCUUCUGUACUGGCUUUGGAGGUGGAGCUGAGGACUUUGGUGUAGAUGAGAUGGGUGCUGAGGGUUUUGGCGCUGAUGGUUUGGGAGUUGACGGUUUUGGAACCGAGGGUUUUAGAGCUGAGGGUUUUGUGACAGAACCCUGUCCAGACUUCUCUUAAGGCUUUGGAGCCUUUGGUUUUGAUGGUGCAGACUGCUUUUUAGGAAUCUCUGAGCCUGAGGUUUCUGCUGCUGAGGAAUGAGCAGCACCGGUGGCAGCAGCUGAGGAUUCAUGAAAUUUCUUCACUGCUGUUUCGGCUUCCUUCUUGAGCUUGGCCAGAUGCCUUUCUUUUUCAUCUGGGUAGUCAUCAAGUGUCAUAAGACUUGAGGGAUGAGCUACUUGAUGAUCCUCGAGUGGAGCCCUUCUGCCAGGAGGCUUCAAAGCGAAUUUCUUCGCAUAUUUUGGGGUCACAAACCUGUACUCCUUCCACUCCUUUGCCCAUCUGCAUUCAAUUUUCUGCAGCCUAAUCUUUCUUUUAGGCAUAGUCUCAGGUUCAUCAUCAGGCGUGCAAUAGUCCAUGUAUAUGUCAUCAGGAAUAUCAACAGUUGUGUUCUGCUCCAGUUUCUUUCCUCCCUUCUGUUUCCUUUCUUCCUCCAUUUUCUUCAGACGAGGAAUUUGCUGAUGAUUUUGAACUCUUGAAGAUUCUGAUGAGCCUUGAAGAGUUUCUUCCAGAAACGCUGCAAAUGAGUUAAUGUGAUGAGAACCGAGAGAUUCAUCAGCUGACAUGUGUGUACCUGUGAACAGAGUAUAGUUGCGAGGAAUUUGGAGAGGUCAUAUGCGUUCUCAGAUUUGAAGAAAAUGAAAAAGUUUGACAGUUUGAGGAAUAUAACCAGUGGUUGAGGAAUUUGCUUAAGCAUACUGUUCUUGGGUUCCAGAGUUGUACAGAUCCGAAAAUUCGCACAAUUGAGGAAUCUCAUGAAAAUCUUAGAUGCUUAGCUAGUUCAUCAAUGAUUGUGGUGAUGGAUAGUGUUUGAGGAAUCAUGUGCGCAUCGUAUCUUGAGGAAAAACAGAUUUCACAUGGGAGAGGUAAAACUUCAGAUCUAAUCUGCUGUAAAAAUGGGAUAUAUUUACCCUGGAAGGUGCGAACGAAGAACACAAAAAGGUGGUGUUGGAGAGGCUCUUCGGUCAAGUGUCCAAUGCACCCUAACUUAGCAGCAGAGGACGUCUACGGCGGAGGCGGACGUAGAUGUUCCGACUCCGGCGUGAUCCUGGCGGCGAGAAGGUUGAGGCAGUGAAGCUCUUCCAUGCCGGCGACAAGACAACCAGCGGUGGCGCUAGGGUUCGAUGGAGAGUGUGAUGGCAGGAGAGCGAUGAGGCGAAGAAGAAGAUACUGAAGGGGUUAAGGACAUAUUUAUAGCCCGAAAGUUACUGUUUGGCGCGAAAGUUUCGGACCGAAUAGCCCUUGCCUCUACGUCUCCGCAGGACACGUGUAGCUCCCGUACGAUGCGGUGGAGAUAGUGGAGAUCGUGGCUAUCCGAUCGUGGGAAGUGGGGUUUCAGUUACUGUUCCUUUGAAGAAAACAAUUUUUCGAAGAUUUGAGGAUUUUCGUUACAAAAUCAUCAGCUGACAAGGAUGCAGUGAGGAUUUUGAACAAAGUUUCAAGUAGAACGCAUAUGAAGAAUUGAAUAGACUGGAUAAGUAUAGCAUAGAGGGAAAAUAGGGUCCGAUCACAUUCACUUAGCAGAAACAUCAACUUGAAGAAAUAGCAAUAAGUGAAUGAUGUUGAGGACUAGAAAUCACAGUCUACCUAGGCAAAUGAAAGUCAUCAAGUGUUUUUGAAGAUUUUGCAAUAGAUCAUCACAAUGAAGAACAACUGUUUUGAAGAAAAUGCAUUGUGAGGAAAUUGAUCAUUUGAAGAAAAUCAACUUGAGGAAUUUCACAUUGGGCAGUGGCGUUACCCACCAUAUAAGAAUGUUGAUUACAGACGCCGGGUACAAUUGUCGUAGGGCCCUGAGAAUCAAUUUCUUCGUUAAUUUCUUCACAUUCAGAGUGACUUUCUUCAUUGGUUGAAGAAAAUCGUUUCAUCAUGUGUUGCACAUCUAAGUCAUCAACUUUGCAUAAGUGUUAGGAUGUGUGCAUGUCUUUACAAAACAUUUGAAGACUCUAAGAUAUUUAGCUCACACCGCAACUUGCAAAACCUUUUCUCAUCCAAGGGCUUAGUGAAGAUAUCAGCCAGUUGAUCAUCAGUCUUCACAUGGUCGAUGAGGAUAUUGCCCUUGAGGACAUGGUCCCGAAGAAAAUGAUGACGAAUCUGGAUGUGCUUGGUCUUCGGGUGCUAUACUGGGUUAUAUGCAAUCUUGAUAGCACUCUCAUUGUCACAGUAGAGAGGCACAUUCUUCAUGUUGAUGCCGUAGUCCUUGAGGGUUUACUUCAUCCAUAGUAAUUGAGCACAGCAAGAACCAGCAGCAAUGUACUCAGCUUCGGCAGUGGAGAGUGAUACGCAGUUCUGCUUCUUUGAGGACCAGCAAACUAGUGAUCUUCCGAGGAAAUGGCAUGUGCCAGAUGUUGACUUGCGAUCCACACGGUCACCAGCAUAGUCUGAAUCAGAAUACCCUACCAGAUGAAGAUUGGAGCCCUUGGGAUACCAUAAUCCUAGUGUUGGUGUGUGAGCUAAGUAUCGAAGAAUAUGUUUCACAACCUUAUGGUGUGAUUCCUUCGGUUUUGCUUGAAAACGUGCACACAUGCAAACACUAAGCAUUAUGUCUGGCCUAGAUGCACAUAGAUACAAUGAAGAGCCAAUCAUAGAACGAUAUACCUGCUGAUCGAAAUCUUUACCAUUUUCAUCAGUGCCGAGGUGACCGUUGGUAGGCAUUGGAGUCUUGGCACCUUUGCAUUCAUGCAUGUCGAAUUUCCUCAGAACAUCCUUGAGGUAUUUCUCCUGUGAUAUGAAGAUUCCAUUGUUUUGUUGACGAAUUUGAAGACCUAGGAAGAAUUUCAGCUCCCCCAUCAUGGACAUCUGAUAUUCUUCACUCAUCAUAUAGGCAAAUUCAUCACUGUAUCUUUUGUCAGUACAACCAAAUAUGAUGUCAUCAACAUAUAUUUGACAUACAAACAGCUCAUUAUCAUAAGAUUUUGUGAAAAGAGUUGGAUCGAGUGAACCAGGUUUGAAGCCUUUCUUCAUGAGGAAUUCCUUCAAUGUAUCAUACCAUGCCCGAGGGGCUUGCUUGAGGCCAUACAUAGCCUUUUUGAGUCUGAAGACUUUGUCUGGAUUCUUUGGAUCCUCAAAACCUGGGGGCUGAGCAACAUAUACUUCUUCCUCAAUCUUACCAUUGAGGAAUGCACUUUUCACAUCCAUUUGAUAUAAGAUGAUGUUAUGAUGAUUAGCAUAAGCAAGUAGAAUUCGAAUAGCUUCAAGUCUAGGAACAGGUGCAAAAGUUUCAUCGAAAUCUAUUCCUUCAACCUGGGUGUAGCCUUGGGCUACAAGUCGUGCCUUGUUCCUCACCACUUGACCGUCCUCAUCUUGCUUGUUUCGGAAAAUCCACUUGGUGCUGAUGAUGUUAUGCUUGCGAGGAUCUGGUCGUUUGACGAGCUCCCAUACGUCAUUCAGCUUGAAUUGAAGAAGUUCGUCUUGCAUGGCUUGGAUCCACUCCGGUUCCAGAAAAGCCUCAACUACUUUUGAGGGUUCUGUGAUAGAUACAAAAGAAAAAUGCCCACAAAAGUUAACUAAGUGUGAAGCUUUUGAGCGAGUGAGAGGACCUGGCGCGUUGAUGUCGUUGAGGAUUUUGUCAAGUUCUACUUCAUUUGCAAUCCUCGGAUGAGCUGGUUGAGGAUUUUGUCUGGGCUGAGGAAGUGGUGCUGUUGCAAUUUCCUGAGGAGCAUCUUCUUGACUUUCAUCAGCGAUGGGGAUUGUUUCUUCACCAAUUUCCUCAGUGGGGACAAUGUCUUCAGUAGGCUUAAGCUUUAUUGCUUCCUCAGGAGACAGCUUAUCUGGAUCAGAAGGCAAUUGCUCUCUUUGCGAGCCAUUAGUUUCAUCGAACCGCACAUCUACAGUCUCAACAACUUUGUUGUGAUAGUUGUUGAAGACUCUGUAGGUGUGCGAGUCCUUUCCAUAACCGAGCAUAAAACCUUCAUGUGCCUUAGGUGCAAAUUUUGAGCUAUGAUGAGGAUCUCUAAUCCAGCAUUUUGCACCGAAGACUUUGAAAUAACUUACAUUGGGUUUCUUGUCAGUGAGGAGUUCAUAUGAGGUUUUCUUGAGGAAUUUGUGAAGAUAUACCCUGUUGAUGAUAUUGCAUGCGGUAUUGAUUGCUUCAGGCCAGAAGCGACGAGGAGUCUGAUAUUCUUCAAGCAUAGUUCUUGCCAUCUCAACCAGAGUCCUGUUCUUUCUUUCGACGACACCAUUCUGCUGAGGAGUAUAAGGAGCAGACAAUUCGUGAGUAAUACCAAGUUUAUCAAGAUAAUCAUCAAGACCAGUGUUUUUGAACUCGGUUCCAUUAUCACUCCUAAUAUGUUUGAUCUUGAUGCCGAAGUUCGUCGAGGCCCUUGAAGAAAAUCGUUUGAAGAUUUCCUGCACUUCAGUUUUAUACACUAUGAUAUGCACCCAAGUGUAUCUGGAAUAAUCAUCAACUAUGACAAAGCCAUAUAGAGAUGCUGCAUUGGUUAGUGUUGCAUAGUGAGUAGGUCCAAAUAAAUCCAUAUGAAGCAAUUCAAAUGGACGUGUAGUGGUCAUGAUGGUUUUGGAGGGAUGCUUGGAUCUGGUCAUUUUCCCAGAUUCACAAGCACCACAGAGAUGAUCCUUGAGGAAUUUGACUGAUUCGAUGCCAAUGACAUGCUUCUUCUUUGCAAGUGUGUGCAAAUUCCUCAUGCCUGCAUGACCUAGUCUUCGGUGCCACAACCAUCCUUCUGAGGUUUUUGCUAGUAAGCAAGUGGCUGGUUGAGGACCUGUAGAGAAGUCAACAAUGUACAAAUCCCCUCUUCUUACACCUUCGAAGACUUUGGAUCUGUCAGAUUCCAUGAUGAUUACACAUCUAUAUCUACCAAAGAUAACAAUCAUAUCAAGAUCACAAAGCAUCGAGACUGACAUGAGGUUAAAACCAAGGGAUUCAACAAGCAUCACUUUGUCCAUAUGCCUAUCCUUGGAAAUAGCUACUUUGCCAAGUCCCAAUACCUUGCUUUUACCUUUGUCAGCAUAUGUGAUUUGCUUCAGAGGUGAUGGAGUUAGUGGCAUAUUCAUCAGUAAGAUUUUAUCACCAGUCAUGUGAUGUGUGCAGCCACUAUCGAGAACCCACUCAGUAUUUUUGGGUUUGUCAUCCUGCAGAUGAAUUAGUACACCUUACCAUCUCAUAUGCUUCAGAUUUGAAGAAUAUGAUACUAAUUUCAUCAGUUCAGUGAUUUCAUCAUAACAUAAAUGUAAGGACGUGUGAAAUAUUUCUAUUUCAUCAAUCAUUAGCUUGCGUCCUAUCAAGCAUUUCCUCAGGUCUCCAGCAAAUUCUUAAGAUGAUGAUUUUCAUCUGGAGACCUGUCCAGCAGAAGUGAUUAGUUUGAUUUCUUCACCACCCACAUCUGAAGGGGUGGCAAAGCAUUCAUCAUCCUGCGAGCACCAUAUGAGAAAGGUGGCAUUGAAGCUAAUGCACUUCUCUUAACAGUAGGGGGGUUAAAGUACUCAUAUGAGUAUGCAGAGAACUGGUUUGAGGAUUUAUGAACAUAAUGAUUUGAGGAGUAGCGCUCAUAAUCAUAUUCCUUGUAGUUUCCCUGCAUGUUAGACGCAUAAGCACGGGUACGCGCAUAGUUUUGACCAGUUGAGGAUUUUGAUCCUCUUGAAGACUUUGGUCCUCCUGAGGAAUUUGAUCUGGGUUUCAGAUUCUUCAGAGGUGAUGUCAUGAGAACAUUCACUUGAAGAUUUUCAAGACAACUUUUGGGAACCCAGAUUUUCCUCAGAGGAGGGCCAUUCCUGCAGUUAGUUCCAACAUAUCGAGCAAAUACUUCACCUGAUUGAUUUUUGAACAGUUUAUAGUUGGAAUCAAAUGACUCAUCCGAGGAAUAGGAUAAUUCACAUGAGAAGCCAGUUAGAUUAGAUGGAUCAAAAGGAGGCCCAGUAGCAGCAACCCAUGAGGUUUUGGGAUACUGCUCAGGUUUCCAAUAAGAUCCAUCAGCAUUCAAUUUCCUCUCAAAGGCAAUUCCUUCUUUCCUCGGGUUCCUGUUCAAGAUCUGCGUUUUGAGCACAUCACAAAGGGUUUGGUGUCCUUUGAGGCUUUUGUACAUGCCUGUCAAGUACAAUUCCUUCAACCCUGCAUUUUCAUGAGUGACAUUUGUGUUUUCCUCAAGUGAGGAAAUAGACACAACAGGUGCAGUUGAAGAAUUUGUACGGGUGGUAGCAUUUGAAGAUUCUGGUGAAGAAUUAGCAGUUUCACGAUCAAUGCAUUUAAGACAUGGAGGAAUAAAUUCAACUUGACUAGCACUGAUCUGUUGAGCUAGUAAUGAAUCAUUUUCCAUACGAAGAUCAUCAUAAGACAUCCUCAGCUUCUCAAGAUCAAGCUUCCUUUGAAGAAAUUCGUAGGAAACCUUCUCAUGAUUAGUGAGGAGUGUAUCAUAACGAUCCUCAAGAAUAUCAAAUCUAGACUGAAGAUUUUUCAUGUCAUCAGCGAGAAUUUGAUUAAGAUUCAUUUCAUCAUUCAACAGAUCAUCACUUUUGUCUAGCAGUUUUUGAAGCUUUUCCAGAGCAGUUUGUUGUUUAGUGGCAAUGAUGGCAAGUUUACUGUAACUGGGUUCUUUGUAAUCAUCAUGUUCACAGUCACUUGAAUCAGAGGAGGAGGCAUUAUGUGAUACCUUUGAACCUUUUGCCAUGAAGCAAUAGGUUGGAGCGAAGUCAUCAGCAUAGUCAUCAGUAUGGAUGGUGCACUCAUUUUCUUCAAGAUUGAAGAUUGACUUGCUCACGAAAUUGGUUACUAGUGCAAGACUAGCCUGUCCGGAUUCUGAAUCUUCUCCAGAGCCUUCUUCAUCAUCACAUUCUUCUGAUUCUGCCUCGGAAUCCAUUUCCUUGUCAAUAAGUGCCCGAGCCUGUCUGAAGCUAGUCUUCUUGUGUGAGGAGGACUUUGAAGAUGAGGAUUUUGAAGAUUUCUUCUUCUUCUUUGAGUCAUCAGAACUGUCAUCCUUGUAUUUCUUCUUCUUUGAUUCCUUUCCCCAGCGAGGACAAUGAGCAAUGUAAUGACCUGAUUUCUUGCACUUGUGACAGGUCCGUUUCUUGUAGUCCUCAGAUGCAGAUUCUGAUUUCCUCAUGUCUCUUCUUGAUGAUUUACCGAACUGGCCUCGUCGUGUAAAUCUCUGGAAUUUCCUCACAAGCAUUGCAAGUUCCUGACCAAAUUCUUCAGGGUCACAGCUGCUGUCAUCUGUGUCUUCUUCUUCGGAUGAGGAAAUUGCUCUUGUCUUCAGUGCACGUGGUCUGGAAUAGCUUUGUCCAUAUAGAUCUCUCUUUUCUUCUAGCUGGAAUUCAUGAGUAUUUAGCCUUUCGAGGAUAUCAGCAGGAUCUAACAUCUUGUAGUCUGGUCUUUCUUGAAUCAUCAGAACUAAAGUGUCAAAUGAAGAAUCCAAAGAUCUCAGCAGUUUCUUCACAACUUCGUGAUCAGUGAUGUCUCGAGCUCCCAGUGCUUGCAGUUCAUUUGAUAUGUCAGUGAGGCAAUCAAAGGUGUCUUGGCAACUUUCAUUGUCAUGUCUCUUGAAGCGAUUGAAGAGAUUGCGAAGAAUAUCAAUAUCAACACGAGAGUCACGUUGGGUUGAUACUCCUUCAUUUACCUUGCACAGUCUCUCCCAGAUCAGUGUUGCAGAGCCUAAGGCACUUACUCUUCCAAACUGGCCAGGGCUCAGAUGACCACAGAUGAUGUUCUUUGCUUGAGAAUCAAGUUGCUUGAAUUUCUUCACAUCAGUUGCAGUGACACUAGCAGAAAUGAUGGGGACACCAUUUUCCACAAUAUACCAGAGAUCAUUGUCUAUAGCUUGUAGAUGCAUUUGCAUUUUGUUCUUCCAGAAGAGAAAGUUCUUUCCCUCGUAGGUAGGACAUGCUGCAGUCACCUUAAACAUGCCUGCAGUCGACAUAACUAAAACUCAGGUGGUUAAACCAAAAUCACACAGAACAAGGAAGUACCUUGCUCUGAUACCAAUUGAAAGUGCGUUAUAUCGACUAGAGGGGGGUGAAUAGGAGAUUUUUAGAAUUUCGUCACUGAGGAAAUUCCUUUUGAGGAAAUUCCUCACUGAUGACUAACUUACAGCGGAAGCAGUUAAGGAUCAGUCGUGCAAUCGUUCACAACAGCAGUAUUACAGAGUGAAGAUUAUGAAAACAGAUCGCACAGUAAGCAGGCACGCAGAAUACAGAUGAUGAUUAACUCAAGUGAAGAAUUUGGGGUUGAGGAAAUUCAGAGAAAGUCUUCAGCAAAUUCUUCAAACAGUCACAGUGAAUGUCAUCAACACAUAAUACAGAGAAUGUAAAGAGUUGAGNNNNNNNNNNNNNNNNNNNNNNNNNNNNNNNNNNNNNNNNNNNNNNNNNNNNNNNNNNNNNNNNNNNNNNNNNNNNNNNNNNNNNNNNNNNNNNNNNNNNACGCUCGCCGACACGCUCGCAUGCGGCGCCGUUGGCCACAUCAUGGGCGUCGGCAUCGUGCUCGGCCUCAAGAACACCGGCGUCCUCGACCAGAUCAUCGGCUAGAAUAACCCUUCCUUUUCCCUCCAUAGCUGUUCUGCAUCCAUCGGGCGCUCCAUCUAGUGGAUCAACUAAUGCUCCCUUCGUAAUUUGAUCAUGUGAAUGUAUGUGUAUGCAUCUUUGUUUCAGCGGGACGUACCGCCGCGCCGGUGUGGCAACUGCUUCAUCCCAUGCGUUUUUUCACCAUCUAUAGUAGACUAUUA